Molecule: ribosomal RNA, 399 nt
Filed under: Triticum aestivum (bread wheat)
Lineage: Eukaryota; Viridiplantae; Streptophyta; Magnoliopsida; Poales; Poaceae
Description: partial small subunit ribosomal RNA
Source: RNAcentral
AUACAGACGGGCAUCGGCAAGCCGAGCCGUUCGGACGAAGAACACACCCCCACUGGGGGAAAGGGCACCACCAACGAGCCGUUUGACGGCGGCGCGUUCACCCUAGAGGUGCUCGCGCACGCCAGCAAAUGGGUCAGCGGGGGUGCCGCAUCUGGAAACCGCCGUCGCUCAUGCAAAGGGGAGCAGAGGAGUCUCUCUCGCGCUGGGGUACUGGUGGAUAGAAAGAAGAGAGGGAAGGGGAACGGCUCGCUCGGCGCAAUGGCACUCGCCGCCGUCCACGGCGGCCGGAGCGGCCCAUCAGGGCGCUGCCCUUUUUUCCUCGACAGAGACGGCGCCGACGGGACAGAAGAAGAGAAAGAAGAAGGGAAACAGGAAAGAAAGAGACAGAGAAGGAGCUAG